Molecule: ribosomal RNA, 624 nt
Filed under: uncultured bacterium
Lineage: Bacteria
Description: bacterial SSU rRNA
Rfam family: Bacterial small subunit ribosomal RNA
Source: RNAcentral
GCCUAACACAUGCAAUGUCGAACGCGAAAGGGGAGCAAUCCCUGAGUAGAGUGGCAAACGGGUGAGUAACACGUGGGUGACCUGCCUUCGAGUGGGGGAUAACGUCCCGAAAGGGACGCUAAUACCGCAUGACAUCCUGCCUUUGGACAGGCGGAGAUCAAAGCUGGGGAUCGCAAGACCUGGCGCUUGAAGAGGGGCCCGCGCCUGAUUAGCUAGUUGGUGAGGUGACGGCUCACCAAGGCGACGAUCAGUAUCCGGCCUGAGAGGGCGGACGGACACACUGGGACUGAGACACGGCCCAGACUCCUACGGGAGGCAGCAGUGGGGAAUUGUUCGCAAUGGGCGCAAGCCUGACGACGCAACGCCGCGUGGAGGAUGAAGAUCUUCGGGUCGUAAACUCCUGUCGAGCGGGAAGAACGCCUUGUGGGUUAAUAGCCCGCAGGGGGUGACGGUACCGCUAAAGGAAGCCCCGGCUAACUCCGUGCCAGCAGCCGCGGUAAUACGGGGGGGGCAAGCGUUGUUCGGAAUUACUGGGCGUAAAGGGCUCGUAGGUGGCCAACUAAGUCGGACGUGAAAUCCCCAGGCUCAACUUGGGAACUGCGUCCGAUACUGGAUGGCUUGAAU